UGUUAUGUGAAUGUGGAUUGUAGAUUGUAAACAUGGCAGCUCCUGUAGGGAUUGAUGGGCUGGAUCCACCGCAGAAUCCUGAUACUCACGCGGCUUCUCAUGGCAGGCUUGAUCCCCAGUUUUCACCUCAGAUGCCUUACCGGCUUACGAUGGAAGAAGUAAGAGUACUAAGACAAUGCAACCGAGAUAGUUUCUAUCAGAGAUCGUUACCUUUCGCAACAAUUUUGGGUGGUACAACCUAUUUAGCCGUGAAGUCAGGUUACUUCAAGGCUCACCCUCGUUUUGGUGCCACCCCAAAAGUCAUUGUGGCAGGCCUCUUGGGUUAUUUUGUAGGGAAAGUAUCAUACCAGAGCAGAUGUGCUGAGAAAUUGAUGCAGCUUCCCAACAGUCGUAUUGGAGAAGCUCUAAGGCAAAGGAAGAGACAAGGAAAUCAAGAAAUACUAACAAUGGAUCCAAGUUUUGGUGCUGGAGUGUCAUUACCAACAUUUGGAAGUUUGGAUACAUUCUCAGAUGUAGGACCACAACAUGACUUGGAUUCUGGAUACCCAGUGAGUGAAGGGUUAGAUGAUACAUACAGGCCAACUCUUGACUCACCAGCAUUUGAAGAAGAGAUGCCUCUGCCUGAGGCACAGCAGCGUUCUACAACAUAUGAAGAACUGCGUAGGAAGAACAGAGAAGAAUAUGAGCAAAAGAAAACAAAACCAUACAGAGGUAUAGCGGGUACUGAUGAGGUGCCUACCGUAAUUCGUCAACAAACACCAUUGGAGGAACAGGCACCUAAAAGACCUACACCACCACCUUCUUGGAACAAACCAAAAAACAAAUAUGGAGAUGUGUGGGAAGAAUAACAUGUAGGUUGUUAAUUUUUUGAAGACUGUUAUUACGUGUGUUACUGCUGAGCUAUUCUGCACGAAACCAUUUCACAUUAUUUGCUCCGUUGCGGUCUUCAUGUGCAGAUUUUUUAGAUUGUCUUUUAUGAGGUAUUCGGCAAUAAAUUGUUUGGCUAUUAUUUUAGCAGAAAAUAUUUUCGAGUGAUUAUGUUAUUAUGAUGAAUAUUUGCAAUUGACCAACAUAUAUGCUAAUUUUCCAAAAAGUUGUUUCAAAUAUAUUGAUACAAUUUUACCGCUGUUUACUCCAGUAUUUGUUUAUUGUCCAGCAUACAGAAAAGAAUGGUUUCAGCAAGAAGGUUUACCCUUUGAAACACGAAGUUUUUUGUUUGAUGUUUUCAGAUGUAAUUCUCAUUGUCUAUUGGCUUUAAACUUUUAUUUUUAUACUUGAAUCCUUAUUGCUGUCAAAACAAAUAUGAACACCAGUUAAGCAAGUUUCAAAAUGAAGUUGAGAGCAGUAAACCCUGCCUCCUAAUGUGUGUUAACUAUAAUUAAAUCUUGUGAAAUUUGGCAUAUUGCUGUUUUUGUGUAUCCUCCAUGAUUGGAUGAAGAGAAUAGCUGAAGUUGCAGUAAACUGUAUAUAAUAUAUUUAUUAUUUUGUGCUUUAUCCAAAGUGCAAUCUUCAGAUUUUGGUGAACUUAUUGUAUGCCUUUCAAAUUGUUUUCGUGCUGCAGAGAUUUCAUUUUCUUAAAAAUUGUCGAGUUUUGGGUUCGAUGCUGUAAUAUGGCGACGUUACUCAUUUUUCAUUGAUGAACAAGUAAGACUGCUCAAAACAAGGCCUGGCAUAAGGUGAAGCACCUGGAAAACAUGGUCAGAUGUCAAUGUAACUUUGUAAAUGUACAUGUACACACCAUUGGUGAGUAUGUAACUGAUUAACAUGGCAGUUCUCAGUGACAGGUAGAAUUCACAUCAGACUGCAUUAGUGUUGUUCUUGUUUAGUGCUAUUACCUGGCCCCAUAGGAUAUGUAAAGUGCGGGAACAUCAUCAGAUCUUGAGUGAUCAGGAUGAUGUUGCAUAAUCAUGUGUGAAAGUGUUAUAAAGUACCUGACAGUGUUUGAAAGGGGCAUCUUCUUGGGUCUCCAUUUGGCUGGCUGAUUGAAUAGUGCAAUAUCCAGAUUUGUAGAGCAUUCGGUUAUGACAGUGGCCUGGUGUUGGACUACAGGGGAACAUGAGGGCAGGCACAUUUGUCAACAAGAAUCUGGUCAAGCAUGAAAUGAAAUGAGUGUAUGGCAUCGUUGACCAGGAGGUCCCAUCUGGGGAAGUUCAUCCCCAAGUGCAAGUCUUAUUUCAGUUGAAGCCAUGUUGGGUGACUUGUGCACUGGUGAUGAGGAUGAAAAGAUGAUGACAAAACACAAUGCCCAGUUCUCAAGUAGAGAAAAUCUCCAACCUGGCCGGUAAUUGAAUCUGGGCCCAUUUGCAGGGGAAGCGAGCAUGUUACCACCCAGCUAAGCAGUCGGACUCCAGUCAAGCAUGUCUGACCAGCACAAGGGUAAAUCAUUUCACCAAGUGCAUCUUAACCCCUUAACAUUUGUGUUUGUCAUAUGAGAAAAAUCAAUGGACUCUGCAACAUUCUGUUCUUUCUGUACCAUUGGACGGAGACUAGGAGCAGUCAGACUAGAUUACCAUCCCAUGCUUAGGCUGCUGUUUACACUACGACACAAAUGACUGCAUUUGGAUUGGUACUGUGACAGUGAAGUGCAACUGUUGAUGGACAGUGUCACAUUGUGUUCAGUAAUGAAUUGUGCGUGUACACUACCCCAGUGUACAUCAUUGCCAAGUAUGGAGACAGCCUGGAAAAAGAUCGCUUUCAUCCAAUGUUGGAGAGGCACAGAAGUAUUACUCAUCCAUCCUGUUAUGGGUUGCCAUCAGUUAUGUCUUCUGGUCACGGCUGCUAGUGAUUGAGAGAACUGUGAUGGCACAAUGGUACGUAACUGAUACCCUGCAUCCUCGUGGUCAUCUUUCAUGUGACAGGAUUGUGGUACCAUUUUUCCACAGGACAACACUCAUGUACAUGUGGCACAUGUCACUAUGAACUGUCUGCAUGAUGUUAAGGUACUCCUGUGGCCAGCAAGUUCCCUGAUGGAACAAGUGUGCACCAAUGCAGACAUCAAUCUAUCCAGUGCCAGUAUCUAGGAUAGUUACAACAUUUGUGGGCCAGCUUGCCUCACAGUGGGAUACAACUACUUUAUGGCACCCUUCCCAACCAAAUCAGUGCAUGAAUACCGGCCAGAGGGUGUGCAGUGUCAUACUGAUAAGUGGACUAACACUGCUGAUUUAUUUGUAAAUUUGAUUUGAUUAUGUAAUUAGUGAAAUAACAUCACAGAACCUUCAA
RNA transcript from Schistocerca americana (American grasshopper), 3219 nucleotides. It is a transcript of the gene named OCIA domain-containing protein 1, with no coding region annotated. The transcript is spliced from 7 exons. NCBI's taxonomy places the organism in Eukaryota, Metazoa, Arthropoda, Insecta, Orthoptera, Acrididae. The record is from RefSeq and is a predicted model, not a curated record.